UUGCAAUGAUGAAUGCUAGGAAGUUGAGAAAGUUUAUACUAAGUCUACUUGAUGAAAGACAAUCCUGAGCGGUUACCUGAGCAA
Small nucleolar RNA from Tripterygium wilfordii, 84 nucleotides. RefSeq annotates it as small nucleolar RNA snoR128. NCBI's taxonomy places the organism in Eukaryota, Viridiplantae, Streptophyta, Magnoliopsida, Celastrales, Celastraceae. The record is from RefSeq and is a predicted model, not a curated record. The transcript has a single exon.